GAUGAACGCUGGCGGCGUGCCUAAUACAUGCAAGUCGAGCGAACAGGCGAGGAGCUUGCUCCUCUGACGUUAGCGGCGGACGGGUGAGUAACACGUGGAUAACCUACCUAUAAGACUGGGAUAACUUCGGGGAACCGGAGCUAAUACCGGAUAAUAUAUUGAACCGCAUGGUUCAAUAGUGAAAGACGGUUUUGCUGUCACUUAUAGAUGGAUCCGCGCCGCAUUAGCUAGUUGGUAAGGUAACGGCUUACCAAGGCAACGAUGCGUAGCCGACCUGAGAGGGUGAUCGGCCACACUGGAACUGAGACACGGUCCAGACUCCUACGGGAGGCAGCAGUAGGGAAUCUUCCGCAAUGGGCGAAAGCCUGACGGAGCAACGCCGCGUGAGUGAUGAAGGUCUUCGGAUCGUAAAACUCUGUUAUUAGGGAAGAACAAAUGUGUAAGUAACUAUGCACGUCUUGACGGUACCUAAUCAGAAAGCCACGGCUAACUACGUG
Molecule: ribosomal RNA, 497 nt
Filed under: uncultured bacterium
Lineage: Bacteria
Description: partial 16S ribosomal RNA
Rfam family: Bacterial small subunit ribosomal RNA
Source: RNAcentral